Molecule: ribosomal RNA, 1498 nt
Filed under: Pseudomonas poae
Lineage: Bacteria; Pseudomonadati; Pseudomonadota; Gammaproteobacteria; Pseudomonadales; Pseudomonadaceae
Description: bacterial SSU rRNA
Rfam family: Bacterial small subunit ribosomal RNA
Source: RNAcentral
GGGGUACUGUUAUAGCUCGAGCUGGACGGUUGACCUGGCUAAGAUAGCUUGCUCCUUAGCUAGCGGCGGACGGUGAUAAAUGCGUAGGAAUCUGCCUGGUAGUGGGGGAUAACGUUCGGAAACGAACGCUAAUACCGCAUACGUCCUACGGGAGAAAGCAGGGGACCUUCGGGCCUUGCGCUUACAGAUGAGCCUAGGUCGGAUUAGCUAAUCCGGGAGACGAAUGGUUUUCAACGCCAAGGCGCACCAUGCGUAACAGGUAUCGUCGGAUCAUCAGUCACCCUGAAACUGAGACACGCUCCAGAAUCCUACGGGAGGCAGCGAGUGGGUAAUAUUGUUCAAUGGGCGAAAGCCUGAUCCAGCCAUGCCGCGUGUGUGAUGAAGAUCUUCGGAUAGUAAAGCACGUUAAGUGGGGAGGAAGGGCAGUAACCUAAUACGUGAUGGUUUUGACGUAACCGACAGAAUAAGCACCGGCUACCUCUGUGCCAGCAGCCGCGGUAAUACAGAGGGUGCAAGCGUUAAUCGGAAUUACUGGGCGUAAAGCGCGCGUAGGUGGUAUGUUAAGUUGGAUGUGAAAUCCCCGGGCUCAACCUGGGAACUGCAUUCAAAACUGACUGACUAGAGUAUGGUAGAGGGUGGUGGAAUUUCCUGUGUAGCGGUGAAAUGCGUAGAUAUAGGAAGGAACACCAGUGGCGAAGGCCACCAACUGGACUAAUACUGACACUGAGGUGCGAAAGCGUGGGGAGCAAACAGGAUUAGAUACCCUGGUAGUCCACGCCGUAAACGAUGUCAACUAGCCGUUGGAAGCCUUGAGCUUUUAGUGGCGCAGCUAACGCAUUAAGUUGACCGCCUGGGGAGUACGGCCGCAAGAUUAAAACUCAAAUGAAUUGACGAGGUCCAGCACGAGCGGUGCAGCAUGUGCUUUAAUUCGAAGCAACUCGAACAACCUUACCAGGCCUUGACUUCCAAUCUACUUCCUAGGAGAUAGAUUGGUGUCCUUCGGGAAACAUGGAGACAGUUGCUGCAUGGGUGUCGUCAGCUCAUCUCGCGAGAGAUUCGGUCCAGUCCCGUAACGAGGGCGAUGAAUGUCCGUAGUUACAAGGACGUAGUGGUAGGCACGCUAAGGAGACUGCCGAUGACCAAUCGGAGCACGGUCAGGAUGACUUCAAGUCGUCAUGGCCCACACAGCACCUGAGCUAUUAUCGUUCGAAACAGGUCGCGGUACGUGCACAGUGUAUGUCAAGCCGCGAGGUGGAGCUAAUCCCAUAAAACCGAUCGUAGUCCGGAUCGCAGUCUGCAACUCGACUGCGUGACGUCGGAAUCGCUAGUAAUCGCGAAUCAGAAUGCCGCGGUGAAUACGUUCCCGGGCCUUGUACACACCGCCCGUCACACCAUGGGAGUGGGUUGCACCAGAAGUAGCUAGUCUAACCUUCGGGAGGCAGGUUACCAUCCGUGUUCUCAGGCUGGGAAGUAAGCUGUCAGAGCACCGCGUUGCCCG